RNAcentral lists this ribosomal RNA (497 nucleotides) under uncultured bacterium. RNAcentral describes it as "partial 16S ribosomal RNA". It matches the Rfam family "Bacterial small subunit ribosomal RNA", at positions 28 to 507 of the family's 1533-position model. The record is from RNAcentral.
GACGAACGCUGGCGGCAUGCCUAAUACAUGCAAGUCGAGCGAACAUUUGUAGAGGUUUGCCUCUUUACGUUAUCGCGGGGCGUGGGAGAAACACAUGUAUACCCCCUCUCUUAGACUUGGGUAAAAUCCGGAGACAGCGGGGCAUACAGCAGAUUAUCAUGAUCCGCGCGGUUCCAUACUCUAAGACGCUGCUGCUGCUAUUAAUAGAUGAUUCCGCGCCGCAUUAGCUAGUUGGUAAGGUAACGGCUUACCAAGGCAACGAUGCGUAGCCGACCUGAGAGGGUGAUCGGCCACACUGGAACUGAGACACGGCCCAGACUCCUACGGGAGGCAGCAGUAGGGAAUCUUCCGCAAUGGGCGGAAGUUUGAUGGAGCAAUGCCGCGUGAGUGAUGAAGGUCUUCGGAUCGUAAAGCUCUGUUAUGAGGGAAGAACAAGUGUGGAAGUAACUGUGCGUAUCUUGACGGUACCUAAUUAGAAAGCCACGGCUAACUACGUG